Non-coding RNA from Podarcis lilfordi (Lilford's wall lizard), 186 nucleotides. Lineage: Eukaryota; Metazoa; Chordata; Lepidosauria; Squamata; Lacertidae. The record is from the annotation of a GenBank genome assembly.
UGUGAAUGCGUAGAAGUGAAACUACUUUAUUGAUUUUCAUUAUCCUAGUUGAAAGAAAAGUCAAAGAUAAACAAAGUAUGGUGAGUGACAGAUACAUUAGUGUGUGUGUGUGUGUGUGUGUGUGUGUGUGUGUGUUGCCUUCUCACUUCUAUCUUAUGAAACAAAGAUACCAGUACAGGAUCACAA